GCUUUUUGAAGGUGGCUUUCCCACUCAGCAUAAUUCCCUUGAGAUCCAUUCAAGUUGUUGCCUGUAUCAAUGGCGUUUCCCUGCUGUGGCUGAGUAGUAUCCCAGCUAAAAGCACCUGAACUACUGUAACAAAUUUGCCCUGUAGUGUGAUGGAUUAAGUGGAAAGCUUGAAUCUAUGCUAUUCCCUGUGUGACCAUGAUUUUAUGGACAUACACUUUGAAUAUGUGGGUCUGUGGAAGAUCGUCUUUCCAAAAAUGACCACAGCAAUGUUUCCAGUCUCACAUGGACUUUCUGAUAUUGCCAGUCCCCAUGAGGUAAAUCGAUUUCUGCUGACUUUGAACCUGGGGAAGGCGUUGUGAUUGCCUUGACAGAUGGAAUGUGGCAGAACUGGUGCUGUAUGACUUCCAAGGUCAGGUCAUAAAAGGCAAAAUGGAUUCACCUAGAAACCUCUUUUGGGGGACGCUUACCGUGGGAACCCAGCCACUAGGUUGUGAGGAAGCCCAGGACAUGUGAAGAGGCCACGGGCACGUGUUCUGGCUGAUGGCCAGCUGAGGUCCCAGGGGACGGUCAGCGUGACUUGCCGGAUAAGGGAAAGAAUGAGCCUCCAGGUGAUUCCAGCUUCCGGGGUCAGAGCCGCCUCAGCCGACACCACGUGGAGCCAAGGUACUUACCCCCCUGAGCCCUCCCCAGAUUGAAGAUUUAUGGGCAAAAGAAAUGUUGAUUUUCAGCCACUGGGAUUUUGAGUAAUUUUUAUAUGCACCUAAGAACUAGAACAGAAGCAAUGUAGGGGGUUACGAUCUCAGACUGUGGAAGCAGACUUCUUGGUUUCAAUGUGAUCUCUCACUUACUCCCUGUGUAAU
Vicugna pacos (alpaca) is the source of this 860-nucleotide non-coding RNA. NCBI's taxonomy places the organism in Eukaryota, Metazoa, Chordata, Mammalia, Artiodactyla, Camelidae. The record is from RefSeq and is a predicted model, not a curated record.